GAAGGUUUAGUUAAAUCAUAACACUAAUUUGUCAAGUUAUAAUUGCCUAAUAAAGGUGACCUUUA
This 65-nucleotide transfer RNA is filed under the name Falcicornis taibaishanensis. RNAcentral's name for it is "tRNA-Asp". Lineage: Eukaryota; Metazoa; Arthropoda; Insecta; Coleoptera; Lucanidae. The record is from RNAcentral.